This 592-nucleotide small RNA is filed under the name Pan troglodytes (chimpanzee). Its description in RNAcentral is "retained intron". Lineage: Eukaryota; Metazoa; Chordata; Mammalia; Primates; Hominidae. The record is from RNAcentral.
GUUUCCACAUGGUCCCUAUUCUGGGCCUGGCUACUGGCUUCUGCACUUUGGUACAAAAUGACCAUUGUCACUCUCCAGGUUGCAGGCGCCCCACUGGUUACUGCAACGACCACUGCAGUGUCUUCAGUCCUGCUGGCCCCAAGUGUUUUCCAGCAGACAGUUACAAGAUCUUCGGACCUUGAGAGGAAAGCCAGCUCCCCUUCUCCUCUAACUAUUGGAACGCCAGAAAGUCAGAGAAAGCCUUCCAUUAUUCUCAGCAAGUCUCAGCUCCAGGAUACAUUAAUACAUCUAAUAAAGAAUGAUUCCAGCUUCCUCAGUACACUUCAUGAAGUCUACUUGCAGGUGCUGACCAAGAACAAAGACAACCACAACCUAUGACUGGAGCAGAAUAAGUCUAAAGGCAGAGCCCCAGCCUCAGAGACAAAUAGGCUUCAUCAUGGAAACUUCUGAGCAGAACAUUGAGUUUGAGAAUCCUGAAAUUGAGCCUAUGAGAAAGAGACUCAUUUCUUAAGAAUGUUUUCCAAGUGACAUUCUCAGUGAUAAUGGAGGUUUCACUGUGAAGCAUCACCAGCAGACCCUUGUUUUGACAAAA